Long non-coding RNA from Clupea harengus (Atlantic herring), 2768 nucleotides. The record is from Ensembl. NCBI's taxonomy places the organism in Eukaryota, Metazoa, Chordata, Actinopteri, Clupeiformes, Clupeidae.
GGUUGGUUGAACGUCCCAUGCGUGUUGUGAGACGCGACGCAAUCAAAGACUGAUCUUCCGGUAUCAACACUUGAUCAGAUGGAAGAGUGUACAGGAGGUUGUUAUUUGACAGAUUUUGCAAGCUGGGCGCACGGAACAUGCGGCAGUAGCUAGCAGUGGUUGUGCACAAGGUCCAGCAGGAAAAUGAAUGUUGUCUCAGCAAAAAAGAAGCCACUCAAUGCUACUGGGAUCAAAGACUGCCCUGCCCGUGUCUACACUGAGGCCACUGCUGGCUGCAGCCUUCCUCACGGUAUCCGAAUUAAAGUAGAACCAAGUCACGAUGAGACGCAGACAAUCAAAGAAGAGGUGACAUCUGCAGAGCCCUGUCCCUCGAAAGCCGUCUCUCCCUCGAAAGCCGUCUCUCCCUCGGAAGUCAUCUCUCCCAAGCUGGAGCCGGACUGUGAGGGGGUGAGUUCGUGGGCUGUGAUAAUAAAAACAGAACCAGAAUCCGACUUCGAGAUCCCGCAGCCAGGAGAGGCAGAUCUCAAGCCUGUUAAGAGAGAAGAUGAAGGGGAUCAAGACGUCAAGCUGGAGGCACCGGAGGAUGGUGCGUCAUUGGCUACAGAUGGCCAAAUCAAGUGUGGCAGACCACUAUCCUCUCCAGAAGCGCACGCAACACCCCCUCGGAAAAGGCCAAACUCCAGCGUCCCUCCCGACGUGAGGAAGGACGGCAUUGAUCAUUUCCCCACGUGGGGAACUCGACAGAGAUGCAAGUACUGCACAGGCAAUCACUUCUCACACGUCUACUGUGGGAAAUGCAAAGUCCAUCUUUGCCUGAACAAGGACAGAAACUGUUUCAUUGCCUACCACAAGGCCAAAUAAAAAGCUUGUAUAAAGGUUCGAGUUUAGAAAAAAAGAAACUAAGCCCAAUUUAAUUACAAGUUACUAAAAUAAAAGUUGUUAUCAAUAAAUUGCCAUAAAGACCCGAUGAAUCAAAUAUAUCAUAUAUGGAAAUGAUUACGAUCUUUUAGUUUUUUUUGUAUUUUGUAAAAAAUUAAAUAAAAAAAAGGUCUAAUAAACACACACAAAAAAAAUAUUUUCUGCCUGUUAUUUGAUGUGUCAGGACUCACAGGGUUAAGACAUGGUGAACACAUAUGCCCAUUGAAAGGCUAGCCUACGCAUCAGUCUAUCCUGUUUUAGGUGCCAUUUUAACAUUCCAUUAUCAUUCCUCAGAGUACAGCAUGACUUGUUGCACUCCUAAACGUAAUAAAGGUUCAGCCCCAUUCCGUUUAGUGCAACAUUUUAUGGAUUUUUCUCUACAUCACUUUGACUAUGUCUCAACCAGGGUCCAUGGCCUAAACACUAGAGGUGUUGCGACACACUGCCGUCUGAGUGUUUAUAAAAACUAUUUGUAAAAACUGAUUUGCAGCAAAUAAUUAAUGGCCCACUGCUAUCAGGCAUUUCCCCAAAGUCACUAAAAACAUUCGCCGUUAAACCACCCUUCAAAAAGAGAACUCUGGAUGCCUUUGUGUUAAACAACUAUAGAUGUGUGUCCUCCUCGAUUGUUUUCAAUCAACUCAACAAUUUUUUUUUUAACUCAAGCGUCAUUUUGACGAAUUUUGAUCAGGCUUCCAUCCUCACCAAAGUGACCGCACUUAUAAAAGUGUUAAAUGAUAAACGCCUGAAUACUGAUUCAGGUAAAAUACCAGUUCUGGUUUUACUAGAUCUCAGUGCUGCAUUUAACUCUGUAGACCAUAGAAUACUGCUGGAGAGGUGGGGAAAUUGGGUAGGACUUUCCGGAGCUGUCCUUCACUGGCAGUUAUGAAUCUGAGUGGCGAUGACAUGAGGAGUCACCCAGGGAUCAGUUCUCUGACCUCUUCUGUUCAAUCUCUAAUUCUAUAUAAUAACAACAUUGAUUACAAUAGUAAUGCAGAUGAUACACAGAUACAUCUGGCUCUCGCACCAGAUGACUUCAGCCCAAACAACUCACCGUGUCAAUGCUUAGAGCUAAUAAAUAAUUGGAUGAGCCAAAAUGUUCUUCAAUAAGCAUAAAACAGAGAUUAUUGUGAUUGGCAAAAAAGAGACGAGAAUUAGCAUUAGCAUUAGCAACCACCUUGACUCUUAAGAUUUACAAACCAAAGGCCAAGUCCGAAAACUUGGCAUUCUUACAGACUCAGAUCUCACUCUUACCAACCAUUACAAAGCAGCCUCCUAUCAUCUGAAAAUAUAGCCAGAAUCAACGGUUUGGUGUCCCACAAAGACCACGAGAAGCUCAUUCAUGGUUUUUUUCCCAGUAGGGUGAACUACUGUAAUGGUCUUUUAACGGGUCUUCCCAAAAAAGACCUUUAGACAGCUGCAGCUCAUUCAAAAUGCUGCUGCUAGACUUUUAUACAGAGAACAGAGCUUAUUACUUUACAUUGGCUAGUUAGUUGCAGAAUAGAUUUUAAAGUGCUGCUACUAGUCUGAAUCACUGAAUGGUUUGGGCCCAGAAUACAUCUGGAACAAACCGGCAGAAUGUCUUAGAUGUGCCCCAAAUGGAGCUAUUUAUAAAUCCAGGUUAAAAACAUUUCUCUUUUCUUGUGCCUACAAUUGAGGUCUUAAACUUGCACUAUAUUCUUACUGUACUUUACUCUUAAAGUUUAAUUAUUUAAAAUGUAAUAUUAUUUAUCUUUUAAUUAUGUAUGUACUGUGUACUUUCUUUUAAUUAUUUAUGUCUUUGUUCUUUUAAUUUCCACUAAUGUAGUGUGUACUUUCUUGUUAUUUUAUAUAUAUAUAUAUAUAUAUAUAUA